GUCUUAUUGAUAAUAAUUUUAAGUCUAAUCUGCCCAAUGAAAUAUUUAAUGGCUGCAGUAUUUUAACUGUACAAAGGUAGCAUAAUAAUUAGUUUCUUAAUUAGGGACUGGAAUGAAUGAUUGAACGAGAUAAUAACUGUCUUGGGUUAAUUUUUAGAAUUUUAUUUUUAAGUUAAAAAGCUUAAAUUUUUUUAAAAGACGAGAAGACCCUAUAGAAUUUUAUAUUAAAUUUUAAUUUUAAUUUAAGAUAAUAAAAUUAACAUUAUUGUAAUAUAUUUAGUUGGGGUGAUUAAAAAAUUUAUAAAACUUUUUUUUAUUUAUUUUACAUGAGUAAGUGAAUUUUUGAUCCAAAAAUUUUGAUUAUAAGAUUAAAUUACCUUAGGGAUAACAGCGUAAUUUUUUUAGAGAGUUCUAAUCGAUAAAAGAGAUUGCGACCUCGAUGUUGGAUUAAAGUUAAUUUUUAAUGUAGAAGUUAAAAUAUUAGGUCUGUUCGACCUUUAAAACUUUACAUGAUCUGAGUUUAAAUCGGCGUGAGCCAGGUUGGAUUCUAUCUUUAAAUAGAUUAAAUAUUUUAGUACGAAAGGACCGAAUAUUUAUUAUAAUAAUUUAACUUAGAAUAAUAUUAUUAUUUUGGCAGAAUAGUGCUUUAAAUUUAGAAUUUAAAUAUACGAAUAUAUAAUUUGUAAAUAAUAC
This 693-nucleotide unclassified non-coding RNA is filed under the name Pholeuon gracile. Its description in RNAcentral is "partial contains 16S ribosomal RNA (rrnL) and tRNA-Leu (trnL)". The stretch from base 384 to 542 matches the Rfam family "Bacterial large subunit ribosomal RNA", at positions 2473 to 2632 of the family's 2925-position model. Lineage: Eukaryota; Metazoa; Arthropoda; Insecta; Coleoptera; Leiodidae. The record is from RNAcentral.